Molecule: ribosomal RNA, 464 nt
Filed under: uncultured bacterium
Lineage: Bacteria
Description: partial 16S ribosomal RNA
Rfam family: Bacterial small subunit ribosomal RNA
Source: RNAcentral
GACGAACGCUGGCGGCGUGCUUAACACAUGCAAGUAGAACGGAAAGGCCCUGCUUGCCUGGUCCUCGAGUGUCGAACGCGUGUGUAACACGUGUGUGAUCCCUCCUUCACUUCGGGAUAAGCCUGUUAAACUCGGUCUAAUACCCGAUAGGAGCCAUGUUUAUUGUUAUCGUUGGAAAGAUUUUUGGAGUUGGAUGAGUUCGCGGUCUAUCUGCUUGGUGGUGGGGUAAUGGCCUACUAAGGCGGCGGCUGGUAGCCGGCCUGUGGGGGUGGACAGCCACAAUGGGACUGAGGUACGGCGCAGACGCGUACGGGAGGCAACGGUGGGGAAUAUUGCAGAAUAGGGGCAAGCCUGAUGAAGCGGCGCCGCGUGGGGGAAGACGGGUUUCGGGUUGAAAACGCGUGUCGGUAGGGAAGAAGCUUUUUGUGACGGUACCUAGAUAAGAAGCACCGGCUAACUACGUG